UAUAAAAUAAUUUUAAUUUUAAUUAAAUUUAAUUUAUUAAAAUAUAAAUUAAAUUUUUAUUUUUAUUUUUUACAUGUAACAAAUAUUCACAUAUAAAAAUAAUAUAAUACCUGAUACAUUAAUAAACGAAUAUUAAUAUAUUCACUAUCCGCAAUACAUGAAUGCAUGAAGGUUUAAACCCUUUUUUGGUCCCUAAGUUAAGUUCUGAUGUUCAGUUUAGUCCCUGCUUUUAAAAAUGUCAACCUUUAGUCCCUAUGAUAUGAAAAAUGUAUCAAAUCAGUCCUCAUG
This 288-nucleotide long non-coding RNA is filed under the name Vigna radiata. RNAcentral describes it as "long non-coding RNA (VRAD_LNC003382)". The record is from RNAcentral. Lineage: Eukaryota; Viridiplantae; Streptophyta; Magnoliopsida; Fabales; Fabaceae.